RNAcentral lists this ribosomal RNA (427 nucleotides) under uncultured bacterium. Its description in RNAcentral is "partial 16S ribosomal RNA". It matches the Rfam family "Bacterial small subunit ribosomal RNA", at positions 355 to 774 of the family's 1533-position model. The record is from RNAcentral.
UGGGGAAUAUUGGACAAUGGGCGAAAGCCUGAUCCAGCCAUGCCGCGUGUGUGAAGAAGGUCUUCGGAUUGUAAAGCACUUUAAGUUGGGAGGAAGGGCAUUAACCUAAUACGUUAGUGUUUUGACGUUACCGACAGAAUAAGCACCGGCUAACUCUGUGCCAGCAGCCGCGGUAAUACAGAGGGUGCAAGCGUUAAUCGGAAUUACUGGGCGUGAAGCGCGCGUAGGUGGUUUGUUAAGUUGGAUGUGAAAUCCCCGGGCUCAACCUGGGAACUGCAUUCAAAACUGACUGACUAGAGUAUGGUAGAGGGUGGUGGAAUUUCCUGUGUAGCGGUGAAAUGCGUAGAUAUAGGAAGGAACACCAGUGGCGAAGGCGACCACCUGGACUAAUACUGACACUGAGGUGCGAAAGCGUGGGGAGCAAACA